RNAcentral lists this ribosomal RNA (557 nucleotides) under Klebsiella pneumoniae. Its description in RNAcentral is "partial 23S ribosomal RNA". It matches the Rfam family "Bacterial large subunit ribosomal RNA", at positions 2267 to 2823 of the family's 2925-position model. Lineage: Bacteria; Pseudomonadati; Pseudomonadota; Gammaproteobacteria; Enterobacterales; Enterobacteriaceae. The record is from RNAcentral. RNAcentral also lists the same sequence under 1 other name.
AGUUUGACUGGGGCGGUCUCCUCCCAAAGCGUAACGGAGGAGCACGAAGGUUAGCUAAUCCUGGUCGGACAUCAGGAGGUUAGUGCAAUGGCAUAAGCUAGCUUGACUGCGAGCGUGACGGCGCGAGCAGGUGCGAAAGCAGGUCAUAGUGAUCCGGUGGUUCUGAAUGGAAGGGCCAUCGCUCAACGGAUAAAAGGUACUCCGGGGAUAACAGGCUGAUACCGCCCAAGAGUUCAUAUCGACGGCGGUGUUUGGCACCUCGAUGUCGGCUCAUCACAUCCUGGGGCUGAAGUAGGUCCCAAGGGUAUGGCUGUUCGCCAUUUAAAGUGGUACGCGAGCUGGGUUUAGAACGUCGUGAGACAGUUCGGUCCCUAUCUGCCGUGGGCGCUGGAGAAUUGAGGGGGGCUGCUCCUAGUACGAGAGGACCGGAGUGGACGCAUCACUGGUGUUCGGGUUGUCAUGCCAAUGGCACUGCCCGGUAGCUAAAUGCGGAAGAGAUAAGUGCUGAAAGCAUCUAAGCACGAAACUUGCCCCGAGAUGAGUUCUCCCUGAGACUU